This 253-nucleotide ribosomal RNA is filed under the name uncultured bacterium. Its description in RNAcentral is "partial 16S ribosomal RNA". It matches the Rfam family "Bacterial small subunit ribosomal RNA", at positions 524 to 776 of the family's 1533-position model. The record is from RNAcentral.
UACGUAGGGUGCAAGCGUUGUCCGGAAUUAUUGGGCGUAAAGAGCUCGUAGGCGGUCUGUCACGUCGGCUGUGAAAACCCGGGGCUCAACCCCGGGCCUGCAGUCGAUACGGGCAGACUAGAGUGCGGUAGGGGAGACUGGAAUUCCUGGUGUAGCGGUGAAAUGCGCAGAUAUCAGGAGGAACACCGGUGGCGAAGGCGGGUCUCUGGGCCGUAACUGACGCUGAGGCGCGAAAGCGUGGGGAGCAAACAGG